This 234-nucleotide long non-coding RNA is filed under the name Manihot esculenta (cassava). Its description in RNAcentral is "long non-coding RNA (MESC_LNC007845)". The record is from RNAcentral. Lineage: Eukaryota; Viridiplantae; Streptophyta; Magnoliopsida; Malpighiales; Euphorbiaceae.
GGACUCGAAGACCAGGAGCCCAGAGGAGGCCCUGGGACAAUGGUAAGUAAUGUAUGUUAUGACAGGAAGACCAGGACCCCAUGCUACGGCCUGGCACAGAGUUAGCUUGGACUAAUUGGUGACAAGUUCACCCAGCCCUUAUGUGAAUUGUCUGUGUUAUGAUGCAUUUCAUAGAGCAUAGUGUUAAUAUGUUUUAUAGUUCUGCUCACUGGGCUUUUAGCUCACCCCUCUCCC